This 253-nucleotide ribosomal RNA is filed under the name uncultured bacterium. RNAcentral's name for it is "partial 16S ribosomal RNA". It matches the Rfam family "Bacterial small subunit ribosomal RNA", at positions 524 to 776 of the family's 1533-position model. The record is from RNAcentral.
UACGGAGGGUGCGAGCGUUAUUCGGAAUUACUGGGCGUAAAGCGCGUGUAGGCGGGGAAGCAAGUCUGAUGUGAAAGCCCCGGGCUUAACCUAGGAAGUGCAUUGGAAACUGUUUUUCUUGAGUACUGGAGAGGAAGGGAGAAUUCCCGGUGUAGAGGUGAAAUUCGUAGAGAUCGGGGGGAACACCAGUGGCGAAGGCGCCCUUCUGGACGGUUACUGACGCUGAGACGCGAGAGCGUGGGGAGCAAACAGG